Molecule: unclassified non-coding RNA, 191 nt
Filed under: uncultured Cantharellales
Lineage: Eukaryota; Fungi; Basidiomycota; Agaricomycetes; Cantharellales
Description: sequence contains ITS1
Source: RNAcentral
AUGUAUCUCUGGCGGUGAGGGUGCGCCCCGCUCCGGCCUCUGGCCGUGCAGCGAGUGUGCCCGAGCUGUUCCACCUUUGCAAACCCACUGUGCACCUUUGUCGGCGAGGGGGUCCCAGCGGCCUCCGAGCCGGAUCACAAACCCAAGUUCAAAGAAUGACAAGCGGACAGCGCGCCGCCCAAACUAAAUGA